RNAcentral lists this ribosomal RNA (478 nucleotides) under uncultured bacterium. RNAcentral describes it as "partial 16S ribosomal RNA". It matches the Rfam family "Bacterial small subunit ribosomal RNA", at positions 28 to 523 of the family's 1533-position model. The record is from RNAcentral.
GACGAACGCUGGCGGCGUGCUUAACACAUGCAAGUCGAACGGUAAGGCCCUUCGGGGUACACGAGUGGCGAACGGGUGAGUAACACGUGGGUGAUCUGCCCUGCACUUCGGGAUAAGCCUGGGAAACUGGGUCUAAUACCGGAUAGGACCACUGCCUGCAUGGGUGGUGGUGGAAAGCUUUUGCGGUGUGGGAUGGGCCCGCGGCCUAUCAGCUUGUUGGUGGGGUGAUGGCCUACCAAGGCGACGACGGGUAGCCGGCCUGGGAUGGUGACCGGGCACACUGUGACUGAGAUACUGCCCAGACUCCUACGGGAGGCAGCAGUGGGGAAUAUUGCACAAUGGGCGCAAGCCUGAUGCAGCGACGCCGCGUGAGGGAUGACGGCCUUCGGGUUGUAAACCUCUUUCAGCACCGACGAAGCGCAAGUGACGGUAGGUGCAGAAGAAGGCCCGGCCAACUACGUGCCAGCAGCCGCGGUAA